RNAcentral lists this ribosomal RNA (491 nucleotides) under uncultured bacterium. RNAcentral's name for it is "partial 16S ribosomal RNA". It matches the Rfam family "Bacterial small subunit ribosomal RNA", at positions 29 to 506 of the family's 1533-position model. The record is from RNAcentral.
AGUGAACGCUGGCGGUAGGCCUAACACAUGCAAGUCGAACGGCAGCACAGUAAGAGCUUGCUCUUACGGGUGGCGAGUGGCGGACGGGUGAGGAAUACAUCGGAAUCUACUUUUUCGUGGGGGAUAGCGUAGGGAAACUUACGCUAAUACCGCAUACGACCUACGGGUGAAAGCAGGGGAUCUUCGGACCUUGCGCGAUUGAAUGAGCCGAUGUCGGAUUAGCUAGUUGGCGGGGUAAAGGCCCACCAAGGCGACGAUCCGUAGCUGGUCUGAGGGGAUGUUCGGCACCCCUGGACCUGAGCACCGGCCCAGCUCCCUCCGGGAGGCGGCGGUGGGAAAUUUUGGCCAAUGGGCGAAAGCUUGCUCCAGCCAGCCGGCGGGGGUGAGGAAGUCCUCCGGGUUGUAAAGCCCUUUUUUUGGGAAAGAAAAGCGUCAGGUUAAUUCUCCGCUGUUCUGCCGGUACCAAAAGAAUAAGCACCGGCUACUUUCGU